RNAcentral lists this ribosomal RNA (506 nucleotides) under uncultured bacterium. RNAcentral's name for it is "partial 16S ribosomal RNA". It matches the Rfam family "Bacterial small subunit ribosomal RNA", at positions 29 to 523 of the family's 1533-position model. The record is from RNAcentral.
AGUGAACGCUGGCGGUAGGCCUAACACAUGCAAGUCGAACGGCAGCACAGGAGAGCUUGCUCUCUGGGUGGCGAGUGGCGGACGGGUGAGGAAUACAUCGGAAUCUACUCUGUCGUGGGGGAUAACGUAGGGAAACUUACGCUAAUACCGCAUACGACCUACGGGUGAAAGCAGGGGAUCUUCGGACCUUGCGCGAUUGAAUGAGCCGAUGUCGGAUUAGCUAGUUGGCGGGGUAAAGGCCCGCCAAGGCGACGAUCCGUAGCUGGUCUGGGAGGAUGAUCAGCCAAACUGGAACUGAGACACGGUCCAGACUCCUACGGGAGGCAGCAGUGGGGAAUAUUGGACAAUGGGCGCAAGCCUGAUCCAGCCAUACCGCGUGGGUGAAGAAGGCCUUCGGGUUGUAAAGCCCUUUUGUUGGGAAAGAAAUCCAGCUGGCUAAUACCCGGUUGGGAUGACGGUACCCAAAGAAUAAGCACCGGCUAACUUCGUGCCAGCAGCCGCCGUAA